Molecule: ribosomal RNA, 603 nt
Filed under: Odorrana banaorum
Lineage: Eukaryota; Metazoa; Chordata; Amphibia; Anura; Ranidae
Description: partial 16S ribosomal RNA
Rfam family: Archaeal large subunit ribosomal RNA (bases 347-595)
Source: RNAcentral
UUAUUUGAAACAGAAUACAACCUCCACCACUGGGUAAUAACGGGCAAUAAAAAUAAAGUGGGCCUAAAAGCAGCCACCUUAAGAAAAGCGUCAAAGCUUAACUAUCUCAGCCUCAAAUUACUAAAACACCCCCCCAACCCUUAAUUCCUACUGAACCCUUUUAUACCUCUAUAAAAACGAUUAUGCUAGAACUAGUAACAAGAAUAUGCCAUUCUCCUCAAUGUAAACAUAGACCAGAACGGACACCCCCGCUGGUAAUUAACGCUAAUGUAAAACCAUAACAACAAUACAACAAGAAAACCUUAUGGCCAUCCUGCGUUACCCUAACACCAGAGCAUUCCAGGAAAGAUUAAAAGAAAGGGAAGGAAUUCGGCAAAUUUUAGCCCCGCCUGUUUACCAAAAACAUCGCCUUCUGACUAAGCAUAGAAGGUCUAGCCUGCCCAGUGACAAGAUUCAACGGCCGCGGUAUUCUAACCGUGCGAAGGUAGCGUAAUAACUUGUUUCCUAAAUAGGGACCAGUAUCAACGGCAUCACGAGGGCCAUACUGUCUCCCCCCUCCAAUCAGUAAAACUGAUCUCCCCGUGAAGAAGCGGGGAUUUAUCU